This 506-nucleotide ribosomal RNA is filed under the name Alternaria solani. RNAcentral's name for it is "eukaryotic LSU rRNA". The stretch from base 162 to 315 matches the Rfam family "5.8S ribosomal RNA". The record is from RNAcentral. Lineage: Eukaryota; Fungi; Ascomycota; Dothideomycetes; Pleosporales; Pleosporaceae.
AAUAUGAAGGCGGGCUGGAACCUCUCGGGGUUACAGCCUUGCUGAAUUAUUCACCCUUGUCUUUUGCGUACUUCUUGUUUCCUUGGUGGGUUCGCCCACCACUAGGACAAACAUAAACCUUUUGUAAUUGCAAUCAGCGUCAGUAACAAAUUAAUAAUUACAACUUUCAACAACGGAUCUCUUGGUUCUGGCAUCGAUGAAGAACGCAGCGAAAUGCGAUAAGUAGUGUGAAUUGCAGAAUUCAGUGAAUCAUCGAAUCUUUGAACGCACAUUGCGCCCUUUGGUAUUCCAAAGGGCAUGCCUGUUCGAGCGUCAUUUGUACCCUCAAGCUUUGCUUGGUGUUGGGCGUCUUGUCUCUAGCUUUGCUGGAGACUCGCCUUAAAGUAAUUGGCAGCCGGCCUACUGGUUUCGGAGCGCAGCACAAGUCGCACUCUCUAUCAGCAAAGGUCUAGCAUCCAUUAAGCCUUUUUUUCAACUUUUGACCUCGGAUCAGGUAGGGAUACCCG